CACAUUCUUUAUAGAACAUUUGCCAUGGGUGAGCUGAUUAAAUCACAUCUCCAGUGGUUUUAAUGCAAUUAGCAGGGCCUGGCAAACAACUGAAGCAAUGACAUAACCAGUCUGACUGUUUAAAUAUUCAAAGUCAGAGUUAGGGAGGACCCCUGAGGAUGGAGAAAUUGUGUGCUCCACUUAAACAUAUGCCCCAUACUAAAUUGAAUCUUUGAGUAAAUAGCAAGAAGGUAGCAAAAUAUCACCAGAAGAGUCAAGGGUCAUAGUGAUGAGGAUCAAAGAAAAUCAACAGUCAUGCCUUCAAUCUGUGACUAUCAGACACACUCUAAAUGUGCUGAGCAAGUAUCUCUGGAAUGACUUAGACAAGGAUAAUUGACAAAGACAAAUGAGCUCCGUGAGUACAGAGAAUCGCUAAGCAAAGAGUAAGGAGUAGAAGACCUGAGGCAAGAGGUGCUGAUGACACAUUUAUUAGGACCUAGAACCUCUUGGAUUUCAUCACGACAGUGAGCCAAGGCGUGGAGGAAGCAGAGGCUGAAUGAGGAGUAUCGCAGAUGAGCGAGGAUGUUUGCCUGGAGGAAAAUGGAAAUGGCAAAACAGAAGAGACGCAGUGACUAAUGAAAAGGACAAGAGAGAAGUGACAAUUCCUUUGAAUGGUACCAUUAGCUGCAUGCUGUUUUCAGGGCUCCAGGCCUCAAUAUUCCAACAUUUUCCAUUGUUUACAGAAAUUCCUAUGGAGACUUAUAGACUGUACAAAGCGCCAUCCUUGAUAGUUUGCUCUUUGUACAAUUAAGAAUGGCAUGCCCUUUCUAUAUCAUUUUUCAAGACUAUUAUUAAUCUUCUCUGAGACACAAGAAAAGACACAUAAUGAAUAUUGUCUCCUUACUACCGCCAUCCUGUUGUGCAGUUCAGAAGAAAAUCUUUGCCAGGUUUUGCAUAUCAAAUGACAGCAAAAAAUCUCCAAUAACUUUGAAAAGCAAUUAUGCACACAGUUUGUGAUCAAAAUUUGAUAUUCUGAAACACAAAAUGUGUUUCAAUAAGGGAAACUAUUUGAACACAUAUUUUUAGGAAAUCAUUGAUACAGAGAAAAAUUAGAAUUGAGACUUCACUAAAAAUUACCCAACCCUGGAAAGUAUGUGACUAAAUCCUAUGUAAUCAACAACUUGUAAGGUACUAACACAAAAGAAAUGUCUCUGUUAUUGUACUGCUUCAGGUACAUUUCUACCUAUAGGAACUUUUUAUUCAAAUAUCCUGCCUGAGGACAAAUAAAGCACCUGUAAAAGGGAAAAGCAAACAAAUAUACAAGGA
This 1305-nucleotide long non-coding RNA is filed under the name Capra hircus (goat). Its description in RNAcentral is "lncRNA (ENSCHIG00000002835.1)". The record is from RNAcentral. Lineage: Eukaryota; Metazoa; Chordata; Mammalia; Artiodactyla; Bovidae.